AGGACGAACGCUGGCGGCGUGCUUAACACAUGCAAGUCGAGCGGAAAGGCCCUUCGGGGUACUCGAGCGGCGAACGGGUGAGUAACACGUGAGCAACCUGCCCCUGGCUCUGGGAUAGCCUCCGGAAACGGGGAUUAAUACCGGAUAUGACCACGGCCGACAUCGGCCACGGUGGAAAGAUUCAUCGGCUAGGGAUGGGCUCGCGGCCUAUCAGCUUGUUGGUGGGGUAACGGCCUACCAAGGCGACGACGGGUA
RNAcentral lists this ribosomal RNA (255 nucleotides) under uncultured bacterium. Its description in RNAcentral is "partial small subunit ribosomal RNA". It matches the Rfam family "Bacterial small subunit ribosomal RNA", at positions 26 to 285 of the family's 1533-position model. The record is from RNAcentral.